This 1198-nucleotide ribosomal RNA is filed under the name uncultured organism. RNAcentral describes it as "bacterial SSU rRNA". It matches the Rfam family "Bacterial small subunit ribosomal RNA", at positions 65 to 1233 of the family's 1533-position model. The record is from RNAcentral.
AAAGUACUUCGGGUGCGAGUAAACUGGCGAACGGGUGAGUAACGUGUAGGUAAUUUGCCUACGAGUGGGGAAUAGGUCCGGGAAACCGGAAUUAAUACCGCAUAACGUCAUGCUCCGAUGGGAGUGUGAUCAAAGGUGGGGACCUUCGGGCCCAUCGCUUGUAGAUAAGCCUGCAUCUGAUUAGUUAGUUGGUAGGGUAACGGCCUACCAAGACCGCGAUCAGUAGCUGUUCUAAGAGGAAGAUCAGCCACAUUGGGACUGAGAUACGGCCCAGACUCCUACGGGAGGCAGCAGUGAGGAAUUUUGCGCAAUGGGAGAGAUCCUGACGCAGCAACGCCGCGUGACCGAUUGAAGCUUUUAGGAGUGUGAAGGUCUGUCGUGAGGGAAGAAAAAGACCGAGAAUAAUAAGUUCGGUAAUUGACGGUACCUCACAAGCAAGCUCCGGCUAACUUCGUGCCAGCAGCCGCGGUAAUACGAGGGGAGCAAGCGUUGUCCGAAAUAACUGGGCGUAAAGGGUACGUAGGCUUUUUUGUAUGUUUCCGGUGAAAUUCACAGGCUCAACUUGUGACUUGCCGGAAAAACUGCAGAGAUUGAAUCCGGAAGGGGAAAGCGGAAUUCCUGGUGUAGCGGUGAAAUGCGUAGAUAUCAGGAGGAACACCAGUGGCGAAGGCGGCUUUCUGGUCCGGAAUUGACGCUGAGGUACUAAAGCGUGGGUAGCAAACAGGAUUAGAUACCCUGGUAGUCCACGCCCUAAACGAUGGAUACUUGAUGUCGGGAUGUCCGGUCGUCUCGGUGUCGUAGCUAACCGUGUUAAGUAUCCCGCCUUGGGACUACGGGUCGGCAGACUGAAACUCCAAGGGAAUUGACGGGGGCCCGCACCAGCGGUGGAACAAUGUGGUUUAAUUCGAUGCAACGCGAAGAACCUUACCUGGGCGUGACAUAUAUAUGAAGUAUGUAAGAAAUUAUGUAUUCGGUCUGCAUUUGCAGGUAGCAUAUAUACAGGUGAUGCAUGGCUGUCGUCAGCUCGUGUCGUGAGAUGUAGGGUUUAGUCCCUUAACGAGCGCAACCCUUGCUUUUAGUUGCCAUCAGGUAAUGCUGGGGACUCUAGAAGGACUGCCGAGGUUAACUCGGAGGAAGGUGGGGAUGACGUCAAGUCAGUAUGUCCCUUAUGUCCAGGGCUACACACGUGUUACAAUGG